AUUGAACGCUGGCGGCAGGCCUAACACAUGCAAGUCGAGCGGAUGAAGGGAGCUUGCUCUUGGAUUCAGCGGCGGACGGGUGAGUAAUGCCCAGGAAUCUGCCUGGUAGUGGGGGAUAACGUCCGGAAACGGGCGCUAAUACCGCAUACGUCCUGAGGGAGAAAGUGGGGGAUCUUCGGACCUCACGCUAUCAGAUGAGCCUAGGUCGGAUUAGCUAGUUGGUGGGGUAAAGGCCUACCAAGGCGACGAUCCGUAACUGGUCUGAGAGGAUGAUCAGUCACACUGGAACUGAGACACGGUCCAGACUCCUACGGGAGGCAGCAGUGGGGAAUAUUGGACAAUGGGCGAAAGCCUGAUCCAGCCAUGCCGCGUGUGUGAAGAAGGUCUUCGGAUUGUAAAGCACUUUAAGUUGGGAGGAAGGGCAGUAAGUUAAUACCUUGCUGUUUUGACGUUACCAACAGAAUAAGCACCGGCUAACUUCGUG
This 484-nucleotide ribosomal RNA is filed under the name uncultured bacterium. RNAcentral describes it as "partial 16S ribosomal RNA". It matches the Rfam family "Bacterial small subunit ribosomal RNA", at positions 30 to 507 of the family's 1533-position model. The record is from RNAcentral.